RNAcentral lists this unclassified non-coding RNA (196 nucleotides) under soil metagenome. RNAcentral describes it as "partial contains 5.8S ribosomal RNA, internal transcribed spacer 2, and large subunit ribosomal RNA". The record is from RNAcentral.
AACUGAUACUACCUGCGGGAACCUGCGGAAGGAUCAUUAAAAAAAGGGUCUUUUGACCCAUUUUUUAAAACUCACUACCAUUCUAGCCCAUCGGGUCAGAUGGAAGUGGGUUUUUUCAAACUCCAAAAAUUUUAAACUAUUCGUCUUUUGACGAAACCAAAAAUUAAUAAAAUAAAACUUUUAACAAUGGAUCUCU